UCAGGCCUAACACAUGCAAGUCGAACGGCAGCGCGGGUGCUUGCACCUGGCGGCGAGUGGCGAACGGGUGAGUAAUACAUCGGAACGUGCCCUAGAGUGGGGGAUAACUAGUCGAAAGAUUAGCUAAUACCGCAUACGAUCUACGGAUGAAAGUGGGGGACCGCAGGCCUCAUGCUCCUGGAGCGGCCGAUGUCUGAUUAGCUAGUUGGUGGGGUAAAAGCCUACCAAGGCGACGAUCAGUAGCUGGUCUGAGAGGACGACCAGCCACACUGGGACUGAGACACGGCCCAGACUCCUACGGGAGGCAGCAGUGGGGAAUUUUGGACAAUGGGGGCAACCCUGAUCCAGCAAUGCCGCGUGUGUGAAGAAGGCCUUCGGGUUGUAAAGCAAUUGGUCAGGAACGAAACGGUGGGGGCUA
This 418-nucleotide ribosomal RNA is filed under the name uncultured bacterium. RNAcentral describes it as "bacterial SSU rRNA". It matches the Rfam family "Bacterial small subunit ribosomal RNA", at positions 42 to 462 of the family's 1533-position model. The record is from RNAcentral.